RNAcentral lists this ribosomal RNA (652 nucleotides) under uncultured bacterium. RNAcentral describes it as "bacterial SSU rRNA". It matches the Rfam family "Bacterial small subunit ribosomal RNA", at positions 28 to 723 of the family's 1533-position model. The record is from RNAcentral.
GAUGAACGCUGGCGGCGUGCCUAACACAUGCAAGUCGAACGGGAAUCUUCGGAUUCUAGUGGCGGACGGGUGAGUAACGCGUAAGAAUCUAACUUCAGGACGGGGACAACAGUUGGAAACGACUGCUAAUACCCGAUAUGCCGCGAGGUGAAACCUAAUUGGCCUGAAGAAGAGCUUGCGUCUGAUUAGCUAGUUGGUGGGGUAAGAGCCUACCAAGGCGACGAUCAGUAGCUGGUCUGAGAGGAUGAGCAGCCACACUGGGACUGAGACACGGCCCAGACUCCUACGGGAGGCAGCAGUGGGGAAUUUUCCGCAAUGGGCGAAAGCCUGACGGAGCAACGCCGCGUGAGGGAGGAAGGUCUUUGGAUUGUAAACCUCUUUUCUCAAGGAAGAAGUUCUGACGGUACUUGAGGAAUCAGCCUCGGCUAACUCCGUGCCAGCAGCCGCGGUAAUGCGGGGGAAGCAAGCGUUAUCCGGAAUUAUUGGGCGUAAAGCGUCCGCAGGUGGUCWGCCAAGUCUGCCGUCAAAUCAGGUUGCUUAACGACCUAAAGGCGGUGGAAACUGGCAGACUAGAGAGCAGUAGGGGUAACAGGWAUUCCCAGUGUAGCGGUGAAAUGCGUAGAGAUUGGGAAGAACNNNGGUGGCGAAAGCG